Molecule: ribosomal RNA, 446 nt
Filed under: uncultured bacterium
Lineage: Bacteria
Description: partial 16S ribosomal RNA
Rfam family: Bacterial small subunit ribosomal RNA
Source: RNAcentral
AACGAACGCUGGCGGCAGGCUUAACACAUGCAAGUCGAACGCCCCGCAAGGGGAGUGGCAGACGGGUGAGUAACGCGUGGGAACGUACCUUUCGCUUCGGAAUAUUCCCGGGAAACUGGGAGCAAUGCCGAAUACGCCGUAUUGGGAAAGAUUUAUCGGCGAAAGAUCGGCCCGCGUUACAUUAGCUAGUUGGCGGUGUAAUGGACCACCAAGGCUACGAUCUAUAGCUGGUCUGAGAGGAUGAUCAGCCACACUGGGACUGAGACACGGCCCAGACUCCUACGGGAGGCAGCAGUGGGGAAUCUUGGACAAUGGGCGCAAGCCUGAUCCAGCCAUGCCGCGUGAGUGGAGAAGGCCUUAGGGUUGUAAAACUCUUUCGCCGGAGAAGAUAAUGACGGUAUCCGGAGAAGAAGCCCCGGCUAACUUCGUGCCAGCAGCCGCGGUAA